This 122-nucleotide small nuclear RNA is filed under the name Erinaceus europaeus (western European hedgehog). RNAcentral describes it as "U2 spliceosomal RNA". It matches the Rfam family "U2 spliceosomal RNA". Rfam says of the family: U2 is a small nuclear RNA (snRNA) component of the spliceosome (involved in pre-mRNA splicing). Complementary binding between U2 snRNA (in an area lying towards the 5' end but 3' to hairpin I) and the branchpoint sequence (BPS) of the intron results the bulging out of an unpaired adenosine, on the BPS, which initiates a nucleophilic attack at the intronic 5' splice site, thus starting the first of two transesterification reactions that mediate splicing. The record is from Rfam by way of RNAcentral. Lineage: Eukaryota; Metazoa; Chordata; Mammalia; Eulipotyphla; Erinaceidae.
UUUGCUUCUCGGCUUUUUGGCUAAGAUCAAGUGUAGCAUCUGCUUUUAUCGGUUGAGCACAAAUAAGUACUUUUAAAUAAGUAUCAGUUCUUACUCCUAUAACUGUUGCUUGCUCACUCCAU